UGUCAAAAAUUUCAUCCAUUUGUGCUAUUAAAAAUUAGCAUGGCUAACGAAACAACCAGAUAAAGACAGUGCCACGUGUACUUCCACGUUGAUAAAUUGGGACCAAUUUUUAACAGUAGAAAUUGAUGAAAAUUUUAAUA
MicroRNA precursor from Gossypium arboreum, 140 nucleotides. It matches the Rfam family "MIR7502 microRNA precursor family". The record is from Rfam. NCBI's taxonomy places the organism in Eukaryota, Viridiplantae, Streptophyta, Magnoliopsida, Malvales, Malvaceae.